AGAGUUUGAUCCUGGCUCAGGACGAACGCUGGCGGCGUGCUUAACACAUGCAAGUCGAGCGGAAAGGCCCUUCGGGGUACUCGAGCGGCGAACGGGUGAGUAACACGUGAGCAACCUGCCCCUGGCUCUGGGAUAGCCUCCGGAAACGGGGAUUAAUACCGGAUAUGACCUCUUCAUGCAUGUGGGGGGGUGGAAAGUUU
Molecule: ribosomal RNA, 200 nt
Filed under: uncultured bacterium
Lineage: Bacteria
Description: partial 16S ribosomal RNA
Rfam family: Bacterial small subunit ribosomal RNA
Source: RNAcentral